This 467-nucleotide ribosomal RNA is filed under the name uncultured bacterium. RNAcentral describes it as "partial 16S ribosomal RNA". It matches the Rfam family "Bacterial small subunit ribosomal RNA", at positions 28 to 507 of the family's 1533-position model. The record is from RNAcentral.
GACGAACGCUGGCGGCGUGCUUAACACAUGCAAGUCGAACGGAAAGGCCCUGCUUUUGUGGGGUGCUCGAGUGGCGAACGGGUGAGUAACACGUGAGUAACCUGCCCUUGACUUUGGGAUAACUUCAGGAAACUGGGGCUAAUACCGGAUAGGAGCUCCUGCUGCAUGGUGGGGGUUGGAAAGUUUCGGCGGUUGGGGAUGGACUCGCGGCUUAUCAGCUUGUUGGUGGGGUAGUGGCUUACCAAGGCUUUGACGGGUAGCCGGCCUGAGAGGGUGACCGGCAACAUGGGAACUGAGAUACGGCCCAGACUCCUACGGGAGGAAGCAGUGGGGAAUAUUGCACAAUGGGCGGAAGCCUGAGGCAGCAACGCCGCGUGCGGGAUGACGGCCUCGGGUUGUAAACCGCUUUCGCCUGUGACGAAGCGUGAGUGACGGUAAUGGGUAAAGAAGCACCGGCUAACUACGUG